UAGGGAAUCUUCCACAAUGGACGCAAGUCUGAUGGAGCAACGCCGCGUGAGUGAAGAAGGUUUUCGGACCGUAAAGCUCUGUUGUUGGUGAAGAAGGAUAGAGGUAGUAACUGGCCUUUAUUUGACGGUAAUCAACCAGAAAGUCACGGCUAACUACGUGCCAGCAGCCGCGGUAAUACGUAGGUGGCAAGCGUUGUCCGGGUUAUUUGGCUGGUAAGCG
RNAcentral lists this ribosomal RNA (220 nucleotides) under uncultured bacterium. RNAcentral's name for it is "partial 16S ribosomal RNA". It matches the Rfam family "Bacterial small subunit ribosomal RNA", at positions 355 to 567 of the family's 1533-position model. The record is from RNAcentral.